CCUACGGGAGGCAGCAGUGGGGAAUCUUGCGCAAUGGGCGAAAGCCUGACGCAGCAACGCCGCGUGCGGGAUGAAGGCCUUCGGGCUGUAAACCGCUUUCAGCAGGAACGAAAAUGACGGUACCUGCAGAAGAAGGAGCGGCCAACUACGUGCCAGCAGCCGCGGUGACACGUAGGUUCCAAGCGUUGUCCGGAUUUAUUGGGCGUAAAGAGCUCGUAGGCGGUUGAGUAAGUCGGGUGUGAAAACUCUGGGCUUAACCCGGAGACGCCAUCCGAUACUGCUCUGACUAGAGUUCAGGAGGGGAGUGGGGAAUUCCUAGUGUAGCGGAGAAAUGCGCAGAUAUUAGGAGGAACACCGGUGGCGAAGGCGCCACUCUGGACUGAAACUGACGCUGAGGGGCGAAAGCAUGGGUAGCAAACAGGAUUAGAUACCCUGGUAGUCCAUGCCGUAAACGGUGGGCACUAGGUGUGGGUUCCAACUAACGGGAUCCGCGCCGUCGCUAACGCAUUAAGUGCCCCACCUGGGGAGUACGGUCGCAAGACUAAAACUCAAAGGAAUUGACGG
This 564-nucleotide ribosomal RNA is filed under the name uncultured bacterium. RNAcentral's name for it is "bacterial SSU rRNA". It matches the Rfam family "Bacterial small subunit ribosomal RNA", at positions 338 to 916 of the family's 1533-position model. The record is from RNAcentral.